Molecule: long non-coding RNA, 1018 nt
Filed under: Serinus canaria (Common canary)
Lineage: Eukaryota; Metazoa; Chordata; Aves; Passeriformes; Fringillidae
Description: lncRNA (ENSSCAG00000008188.1)
Source: RNAcentral
AGACCCCCCAGCACCCAGCAGGAUGGGGUUAGGGGCAGUUUAACUCCUUCAUCCCUGGGGUUUUAUUAAAAAAAAAUAAAAUUAAAUUUAUGGGUUUAAACGGAACGCAGGCAGGAGCUGGAGUGGGGCUGGGAGGGGUCCAGGAGCUCAAACCCCCAGGACCAGCACAGCACCAAACCCUCCCUGAGAUCCCGUGGGAUCUCAAAGGGAGAUUUCCACAAACACGAGGGAAUGUUGGUUCAGGGAGGGUGCAAAAGGAAACCAUCACCGGGCACUCCAGCUCUGACCCUGACACAAACUCUUCCUUCUUUUCUAAGCACCAAACCUCACAAAUUCCAUUUUAAAAACCCCAAAAACAAAACAAAACAAAACAAAACAAAAAAACAACCAAAAAACCAAAAAAAAAAAAAACCAAAAACAAAAACAAAAAAACCACAAGCAACAACAACAAAACCCCCAAAACAAAACAAAAAACCCCCCAAAAAACCCCAAAACAAAAAACAAAAAAAACCCCCCCAAAAAAACCCACCCAGCCAACCAAACAAAAAAAAAAAAAAAACACCAAAAAAACCCCUAAAAAUAUCCCAAAACACCAAGAAAACCCCAGUAAAGUUCACCAAAAAUCCAAAUUUUCUCCCAGAGGUGACCCAGGAGGGUCUCAGCCCUUACCCCAGCAGAGCUUCCCUCCAGGAGGGAGAAUUUGGGGAAUGCUCGUUGUGGAGCCAGCCCAGUAUCUGCCCGGGCUGGGAGGGGCAGGACAGGGCCCCUUUAUCUGCCCCAGCAGCUGCAGGGCUGGGGGCUCCCCCACCCCACCAGGAACGGCCCCAGCUCACCCAGACAGGGGAGCCUGGCAUGGGCAGCCGUGCCAGGAGGGAAUUCUGCCUAAAACACAACCCUAAAAUCCAGUCCCAACCUAAAACCCAACCCCAACCUAAAACCCAACCUUCAAAUCCAGUCCCAACCUAAAACCCAACCCCAACCUAAAACCCAACCUUCAAAUCCAGUCCCAACCUAAAAC